Long non-coding RNA from Symphalangus syndactylus (siamang), 1983 nucleotides. RefSeq lists it as uncharacterized. The record is from RefSeq and is a predicted model, not a curated record. Lineage: Eukaryota; Metazoa; Chordata; Mammalia; Primates; Hylobatidae.
CAACACCGACCCACAGACCCUGCUGGGCUCCUGACUGCUCACCCUCCUUUCCCAUGUAAACUCCCCAGCUGUUCACAACUAUGAGAACACAGCCCCUAUGCCCCUUUCUCAGCUUCCUGAGAAAAGCUGGAUGUGGUUGAGGACCCACGUUUGAGACAGAUCUGGGUCAGAACAUCUUGUCUUACUAUUUCUGUGACCUUAGACAAGUCAGUGUGUGUUUCAGGACCUUCUCUGUCACCCAACAUGCACAAUGGUAACAAUGCUAGAAUAUUCUUCCUGGGAAACUCAUCAGGUGUAUAUGAGUUGCAGAGUCUGGAAGUUGAAUAUCAAGAUGCCAGUAUUGUCAGCCUUUGGUGAGAGCUCUUCUGAAUUGCCGACUGCAAACUUCAGGUUAUAUCCUCACCUGGUAGAGAGAACAAGAGAAAUCUCUCUGAGGUUCCUUUUAUAAAGCCAGUAAUCUUAUUCACGAGGACUUCAUCCUCAGGACCUAAUUAUCUCCUACCUCCUAAUAUCACCACAUUAAAGGUUACAAUUUCAAGAUAUAAAUUUGGGAGAAAAUAGACCAUCAGUCUAUCAUGGCUCCCAGGAUUAUAUAUGAAAAUGUUGUAAUUUCCCUUCUACUCACUCUGUCUUGUGUUUGCUCCCUCAAUCUCUGUUCCUGUCUCUGUAUCUCUCUGGGACUCUCUGUUGUAUUCCUCACAUUGCAGAAGCAAGCUCCAAUGUUAAUGUUAUGAGUUGCUCUGUGUAUGGGUCCAUAUGGCAGAGAACUGAAGGAGUGACAAGGCCAAUAGACAAAGAAAAAUAGGCUCUCAGUCUACGUUGAAUUCUGCCAAUAGCCACAUGAGUGAGCUUGAAAACAAACAGCCUCAUGAAAGACCCUGAGUCAGAGACACCCAACCAAGCUGGGCCCCUAUUCCAGUUCCAACAAAUUACCCAGUACUGAUUCCCUCAAAAGCCUCAUUGAAGAAAUACAAAAACGAUAAUCCAGAAAAUCUAGCUUUUUCCAGCAUGUAAUCAUCAUGUUUAAAGUAAGGAGCAUGAAUCAGUGAGAACGGGUUCAAUAUCUGCUUGAGGUGCGGUGGACAUAACCUGAGGUUACCACACUCUCCGCGACUAGGCUCCACUGCUCAUGGUAUAGCAGUGAGAAGAUGUCAGAAAGGGGAAAGACAGCAAAUGAAUGACAAGGACAGGAAUCCCUGAUUCUUGGCUGAAGCUGGUGGUCUUUAUGCCUUGGAGCUACCCAAGAGGGCCUGUUACUGUGACAUCUUCAGCAGUUGCACAAGAAGAAAGCUGCACAGGAAAAGAGCCGGUUUCCGGAAGUCACCCUGACAUGGGAAGAAGCCUGUGGGUAUGCAAAGUACCACCUGCUGGGUCUCCCUAUGUCCCAUGAAGCCUAGACUGGGGAAUGGAUGAGGGCUGGAGAGUCUCUUAAAAUAUCAGAUGCGCAGCUGCUCGGCCUGCUGGGCCUGCCAUUUUGCCUAUGGAGAAGAGGCAAAGUCCACCCAGGCGUGCAUGGGGAGUAGGUGGCAUUGCAGGUGCCGGGCCCUGACAGAGCCACAAGAGAACUCAUGGGGAAUUUUCCUUCCCAGAGUCUUAGGACGGUGGCACUCUUCCUCCAAGUCCUUCAGUUUUCAGCAGGAGAUAGCCCCACAGCAGGUGGGCCUCACAGAGAGUGCCCUGGCUAGGUGAGGACUGCCCACUUGCGGGCACUUGCGGGCACUUGCGGAUGGCCCACAUCCAACCUUACUCAUGGCGAGACUGCCUGCGACGGUUUGGGAAAUGUCAGGCAGGCUCCGCCUGAGCUCUGCCACUGUUCCUGCCCCUUCCCCACCCUGUUCUGCCAUCUGCUUUGUGCUCUGUGCUCAGACAGGUGGCUAGGUCAUUCAAGCCAGAGGAGCACAGCUGUGGAAAGGCAAGCUUGGUAAAGAGAAACAAAAGGAAUCACAGCAACCUUCAUGCUCAGCAGUAGAAUAAUAUAAGAUU